RNAcentral lists this ribosomal RNA (308 nucleotides) under uncultured bacterium. RNAcentral describes it as "partial 16S ribosomal RNA". It matches the Rfam family "Bacterial small subunit ribosomal RNA", at positions 505 to 809 of the family's 1533-position model. The record is from RNAcentral.
GAGACAGCAGUAGCCGCGGUAAUACGUAGGUGGCGAGCGUUGUCCGGAAUUAUUGGGCGUAAAGGGAGCGCAGGCGGACAUAUAAGUCCAUCUUAAAAGUGCGGGGCUCAACCCCGUGAGGGGAUGGAAACUGUAUGCCUUGAGUGCAGGAGAGGAAAGCGGAAUUCCCAGUGUAGCGGUGAAAUGCGUAGAUAUUAGGAAGAACACCAGUGGCGAAGGCGACUUUCUGGACGAAAACUGACGCUGAGGCGCGAAAGCCAGGGGAGCGAACGGGAUUAGAUACCCCAGUAGUCCCUGUCUCUUAUACA